RNAcentral lists this ribosomal RNA (355 nucleotides) under uncultured bacterium. Its description in RNAcentral is "partial 16S ribosomal RNA". It matches the Rfam family "Bacterial small subunit ribosomal RNA", at positions 338 to 710 of the family's 1533-position model. The record is from RNAcentral.
CCUACGGGUGGCAGCAGUGGGGGAUAUUGCACAAUGGGGGGAACCCUGAUGCAGCGACGCCGCGUGGGUGAAGAAGGGCCUCGGCGCGGAAAGCCCUGUCAGCAGGGAAGAAAAUGACGGUACCUGAAGAAGAAGCCCCGGCUAACUACGUGCCAGCAGCCGCGGUAAUCCGUAGGGGGCAAGCGUUCUCCGGAUUUACUGGGUGUAAAGGGGGCGCAGACGGCGAUGCAAGCCAGGAGUGAAAGCCAGGGGCCCAACCACGGGACUGCUCUUGGAACUGCGUGGCUGGAGUGCAGGAGGGGCCGGCGGACUUCCUGGUGUAGCGGUGACAUGCUUCGAUAUCAGGAGGAACCCC